GUGGCAGGGGUUCUCUGCCCUUCGCUGCCUCCCCGGGGCUGGGGUACCUCCUCCCCGCUACGCAGCCCGCGUUGCAGCCACUGCUGCACUUCUAUAUAAGCGCCCGAGCGACUCCCUGCGACUCUUGAAGAUGAAGGCGCCUCCGCUACUUCGCUCUAUCCCCGACUGGGAGAAGACCCCUCAAUGCCUGGGAAAAGCAGUCGCGGCUGGAAAGCAUCUUUCCGGACAGUGGCAGUAGCCAGUCCCACUGCUGCCAUGAGUUGUUCAGACGUGGCGAGGCACCAGCCGCCCCAGUUGAAACUGCCCAGCUCGGUGGCAGCAGCCUCCUGUUCCGCAGCUCCUUGCCCCUUUCCUGCGCUGCCUUUCGUGCAGAGCCAACAGACUAAGUUUGCUGUAUAUAGCAAGAUGCAGGAAUCUCUGGAUGUAGUCCCUCCUAACAAACAAGAAGAAGAUGAGAAAGACCAGCCUGCUGAGAUGGAGUACCUUAACUCUCGCUGUGUCCUUUUCACUUACUUCCAGGGGGAUAUUGAGUCUGUAGUGGAUGAACACUUCUCAAGAGCAUUAAAUCAAACUAGCAGCUUCAACCCAGAGUUUGUCAUUUCCAAAAACAAGGCAGGGCUAAACCCACUAUGGAGAGAGAAUGCAACAAUAGCAAGCCAAAGGAGUGGUUUCCCAGCUUCAUUUUGGACCAGUUCUUAUCAAACUCCACCUCCACCAUGCUUAGGUGGACUUCAUCAUGAUCUUCCAGUAACUGCACCAAGCACCUUCUCAACAGCAGAUCCUAGCAACUGGCCAGGACGUUCCCUGCAUCAGACUGUUCCACCUCCUCCUCAUAGCUUGUCAGAAUCCUGGCAUUAUCCUUUGGCAUCUCAGGUGAGUCCUACAUAUGGACACAUGCAUGAUGUAUACAUGCAUCACCAUCAUCCCCAUGCACACGUGCAUCACCACCACCCACCAACUUCACAUCUUGAACCAGGGUACAGACCUUUGCUGAUGCCUUCAGUUUGUACAGGCAAGAUUCCUCCACCACAUUGUGAUGCAGCCAAGACAGAUUCUACUGCUGUCACCAGUGCUACCUCAGCAUGGGCAGGAGCUUUUCAUGGAACAGUCGACAUUGUUCCAACCUUUGGGUUUGACACAGUAGGCAUACAGCACCAGGAAAAAAGUAAGGAUGCAUCAUGGUUCUGAAGUACAAGUGGAUCUUAUCUUGUAGCCAGUAUUAAAAAUCUCUACCUGUGAAGGGAGCGCUGCAAUUUCUUUUCUUUUUCACCAUUUCUGCAUAGUGGCAAUAGACAUACCGCUAAACAGAUGGAGAGAUGACCAGCCAUGAUUUUGUGAUUGAGUCUUUACCUCUAGAAGGCCAUUUCUAAUUCUUCGGACAAUAAACAGCCUUUCUAUUGUAUAUUGUUUGUCAACUGAGCCUGCAGCAGCAUUUUUGCAGCAUAAUUUCUAUUUGCUCCUGUGAGAGUUUUUUGCUUGAUUGUUUGCAUUGUGUGUGUGUGUGUGUGUGUAUUAAAGCACAGCCUUCAGUUUUUUGUAGCUCUUUGUGCAUCUUUUUUUUUUUGUAGAAAUACAGAAAGUUGGCAUAUGCAUUGAGGGGCUAUUUUAAAACAAUGUAUUUUUUUAAAAAAAAUAUAAAAUGGUAAAGUUCUGUUUAAAGAACUUGCUCUCAGAGAAGCACUGGCAAAAUAUGUAAGAUUCAUAUUUUUAGAUGUUUGAUAUGCCUGUAUGAAAUUUUGUUGUUAUUGCUAUAUGAAGUUUCUGUCAUAAAAUGAUUCAAACAUAUACGUAACAGUUCCACCAGAUCUUGAAUGUACUUUGCUUUUUUGCUUAAACAGUCAUUCUAAUGUAAAAUAUUUUCUAUGGCAUUGCUCUAUCACUAAAAAUGACUGUCUGCUUUGCUGCUUCUUGAGAUAACUUCAAGCUGUACAACCCAUGAGAAAAUAUUGUAAAACAAGGCACAGAUGUUUUAAAAACUGCAAGCCUGCAUAGGAACCAUGGUGCAAAUCUCCCAAAAUUAGAGAAUGUAGCCAAGUUUUCUAUACGUGGAAGCCUGAAAUGUGUUCUUCCUUAAACUGAUACAUAGUUUUAUUUUUCUGGGUGAAUCAAAGAAGAAAAUAAAUCAAAGAAGAAUCAAAGAAGGAAAUAAAUAAUCUAUAGCUGAAA
Sphaerodactylus townsendi is the source of this 2166-nucleotide RNA transcript. It is a transcript of the gene named vestigial like family member 3, with no coding region annotated. The transcript has 5 exons. NCBI's taxonomy places the organism in Eukaryota, Metazoa, Chordata, Lepidosauria, Squamata, Sphaerodactylidae. The record is from RefSeq and is a predicted model, not a curated record.